RNAcentral lists this ribosomal RNA (513 nucleotides) under uncultured manure pit bacterium P62. RNAcentral's name for it is "bacterial SSU rRNA". It matches the Rfam family "Bacterial small subunit ribosomal RNA", at positions 7 to 503 of the family's 1533-position model. The record is from RNAcentral.
GAGAGUUUGAUCCUGGCUCAGGACGAACGCUGGCGGCGUGCCUAAUACAUGCAAGUAGAACGCUGAAGAAAGGAGCUUGCUUCUUUUGGAUGAGUUGCGAACGGGUGAGUAACGCGUAGGUAACCUGCCUUGUAGCGGGGGAUAACUAUUGGAAACGAUAGCUAAUACCGCAUAACAGCUUUUGACACAUGUUAGAAGCUUGAAAGAUGCAAUUGCAUCACUACGAGAUGGACCUGCGUUGUAUUAGCUAGUAGGUAGGGUAACGGCCUACCUAGGCGACGAUACAUAGCCGACCUGAGAGGGUGAUCGGCCACACUGGGACUGAGACACGGCCCAGACUCCUACGGGAGGCAGCAGUAGGGAAUCUUCGGCAAUGGGGGCAACCCUGACCGAGCAACGCCGCGUGAGUGAAGAAGGUUUUCGGAUCGUAAAGCUCUGUUGUAAGAGAAGAAUGUGUGUGAGAGUGGAAAGUUCACACAGUGACGGUAACUUACCAGAAAGGACGGCUAACUA